Molecule: ribosomal RNA, 4146 nt
Filed under: Candidatus Peregrinibacteria bacterium
Lineage: Bacteria; Candidatus Peregrinibacteriota
Description: 23S ribosomal RNA
Rfam family: Bacterial large subunit ribosomal RNA
Source: RNAcentral
AAAAUGUUACUCAUGCGCAUCACACGGAUGCCUCGACUUCGUACUCCGAUGAAGGACGUGGCCAGCUGCGAUAUGUCCCGGUGAGCCGCUAGGCAGGCGCUACCAGCCGGGAAUUUCCGAAUGGGGCAACCCACUAAAAGUCAUGUUUUAGUAUCCGCUUCGCUUCGUUGAGCGACGGGCUAUAAGACUCAAGCAAUAAGCUUAUAAGAAGCUUACAACUUGCAACUUACAGCUUAUGUCUCGCUCUGCGAAGCGGAGCGGAAGGUCACUCCGCGAACUGAAACAUCUCAGUAGCGGGGGAAAAGAAAUCAAAGAGAGAUUCCCCUAGUAGUGGCGAGCGAACGGGGAACAGCCCAAACCCACCUUCGCUUUUUGCUCCGCAAAAAGCUACGGCGGGCGAGCCCAUUAUCUGCGAAUGGGCCUGCCCACCAUAGCUCCGCGCGAAGCAAGGAGCGACGGUGGGGGUUGUAGGACUCCAUACGACGAUCAGUUUUUCCUAGGCAAACGGCCUGGAACGGCCGGCCAUAGAGGGUGAAAGCCCCGUCGCCGAAAGGAAAUGCUGCGUCAGGAGACUCCUGAGUAGGGUCGGACACGUGAAAUCCGGCCUGAAUCUGGGUGGACCACCACCUAAGGCUAAACAGGUACGAAGAUCAAUAGCGGAUAGUACCGUGAGGGAAAGGUGAAAAGCACCCCGGAAGGGGGAUGAAAUAGUCUCUGAAAUGUGAUGCGUUCAAGGAAUAGGAGCUCGGUACCACACUGUGUUUAUAGAUCGAUGGUAUGAAUCGUAGCAAAUGAUCAUUGAUCAAUUUUCAUUUAUCAUUUAAUGCGCAAUGCUCAAUGAGUACAAUGAAAAUUGGAAAAUGAAAAAUGAUAAUUUUCUGCGAUAUUCAUGCGUGUAGAUCUACUGAGCCCAGCGUGGUACCGAGUGACUGUGUGCCUUUUGCAUAAUGAGCCAACGAGUUAGUUGUCAGUGGUCGGCUAAGGCAGUUUCUAGCCGGAGCCGUAGCGAAAGCGAGUCCUAAACAGGCGUAUAUGAUCGCUGGCACUAGACCCGAAACCGGGUGAGCUACCCAUGAGCAGGGUGAAGUCUCUCCAACGAGAGAUGGAGGCCCGAACCAUAACAUGUCACAAGAUGUUGGGAUGACUUGUGGGUGGGAGUGAAAAGCUUACCGAACCCGGAGAUAGCUGGUUCUCUUCGAAAUGCCUUUAGGGGCAGCCUCGUCGUGCACGAUCGGGGGUAGAGAUACUGUUUGGAUGCGGGGGUCUUCUCGACCCACCAAAUCCUGACAAACUCCGAAUACCGAUCCUUAGGCGACGGGAGUGAGACGGUGACAGCGAAUUGCCAUCGUCACGAGGGAAAGAGCCCAGAUCAUUUGCUAAGGUCCCUAAUACAUGCUCAGUGGCAAAGGAAGUGCGAUUGCUCCGACAACCAGGAGGUUUGCUUAGAAGCAGCCAUCCUUUAAAGAAAGCGUAACAGCUCACUGGUCGAGGAGUCGUGCGCCGAAAAUUCACGGGGCGAAGCAUGUAACCGAAGCAGUGAAUUCGUACGAUCUUCGGAUCGUAUGAGUGGUAGAAGAGCGUUCUGUCCAGCAUUGAAGCGAUAUCGCGAGGUGUCGUGGAGCGGACAGAAGUGAGAAUGUUGGCAUGAGUAACUACUAGGCAGGUGAAAACCCUGCCCGCCGAAUUCCCAAGGUUUCCCACGCAACGGCAAUCGGCGUGGGGUUAGUCGGUCCUAAGGUCAGGCCGAAAGGCGUAGCCGAUGGACAGCAGGUCAACAUUCCUGCACUUCAUGAAAAUCGCCAAGGGGUGGCUGCUGAUAGUCUCUCCGGCCUCUGGUCCAGUUUACUGGACUAUGUCUGAGGGAAAGGAUGCUACCACUUCAGGAGCGGUGGGACGGAGUGGGAGGAUCAGAGCGUGCGUAUUGACUGCACGUGCAACGCGUUAGACGUUGAUUCCGGUAGGUAAAUCCGCCGGAUGAGUCGAGCGCGGACGCCAAUUAUCCGCCUCUGGCGGUUGAGUCUGUCCCCUUGCGCUUCCAAGAAAAGCAUCGCUUUCGAGAGUUUCAUGAAACCGUACCGCAAACCAACACCGGUGGGAUGGUCGAGUAGACCAAGGCGAACGAGUCAUCUUGCGUUAAGGAACUCGGCAAAGAAGCGUCCGUAACUUCGGGAUAAGGACUCCCCGCACCCUUCUGAUCUUAGACGGUAUCUCAUCAUUGACUAUCAAUGGUGACGGUACAGUGAGUUCAGGAGGGUGCGGGGCGCAGCGAAAGAGGCCAGGCGACUGUUUACCAAAAACACAGGUCCCUGCUGAAGUCGUAAGACAACGUAUAGGGGCUGAUGCCUGCCCAGUGUCAGAAGGUCACGUGAGGAGGUUUACGCCUCCGAUCUAAGCCCUGAUGAACGGCGGCCGUAACUAUAACGGUCCUAAGGUAGCGAAAUUCCUUGUCGGGUGGUCGAUAAAAAAACUUGCCCGAAUCCGGAGAAAUCCGCAGCACUAGGGAAUUGUAUGUGGAGCUAUGAGCUUUGAGCGAUGAGCUCGGAGCAGUAGCUCUUUGGUACGUAAGUCAUCCCGCAUCCGCGGGGUUGUCACACACGGAGUUGUGACGGUCUCAUAAGGCGGCGAAAGCCGCGAGAGUUCCGAGAAAGUUUAUUGAAAUAUGUCGUAUUCAAACCAGAACCGCGCCCGCCUACGCUCAGGCUACGGUGGGCAAGCGCAGCUAUAUACCCUGCGCAACUAGUGAAAAACGUCGCUAUAUGCUGGAACAUCCGAGUAUCUCCUACGCCGAAAGGUACGGAGUGCGGAUAAUCAGCAGGAAACCCCACUAUGCGCUACGCGCUUCGCGGGGGCUCCUCAGAGACUACACGCGACGCCUCGGCGUAGUUCGUAAGAAUGAAGCCGUGGAUGAUAUAGUCCGAUCCCUCUGGCGACAGAGGGGAGUGCGAAUUGUGCACUCGGUAAAAAACAUGCGUUUACUCGAGAGAUUCGAGACAUGAGUCUUGAGACUUGAGUGAAGGGUUAGUGCGCCUCGCUGAGCGAGGAUCCGGUGACCCGCCGGAGGAAAUUCUCACGACUGUCCAUCAAUAAGUCGUGCCGAAGGAAAGCUUUGCUUUCCUGGAGGCACUCCACUUAGGGAAAGGAGAGUUCGUGAGAGGAAAACCGUAGGUUUUCCUUUCACGCUUCAUGAAGUUCCGACCCGCACGAAUGGUAUAACGGUCUGGUCACUGUCUCGACGCAAGGCUCGGUGAAAUUGCAGUCCCGGUGCAAAUGCCGGGUAGAUGGUGGAAGGACGAAAAGACCCUAUGAAGCUUUACUAUACGCUGACAUUGUGUCGUUGGUUUGCAUAUGUAGCAUAGGUGGGAGACUGUGAAGUCCCGGCGCUAGCCGGGAUGGAGUCACAAUGUGAAAUACCACCUUUGCGUUCCGACGGCACUCACCCCGAGACGUGACACGCGCCGGGAGACAGUGUUUGCCGGGUAGUUUAACUGGGGCGGUUGCCUCCUAAAGUGUAACGGAGGCGCGCAAAGGUCCACUAGCGCCGGAUGGAAAUCGGCGUUGUCGUGUAAUCGCACACGUGGGCCUGACUGUGAGACUUACAGGUCGAGCAGGGACGAAAGUCGGUGAUAGUGAUCCGGUGUCCGGGCUAUUAACAUGCCCAUACCACGUGGGUGGGACAUCGCUCAACGGAUAAAAGUUACUCUAGGGAUAACAGGCUGAUCGGUUCCAAGCGCCCACAGCGACGAACCGGUUUGGCACCUCGAUGUCGGCUCAUCGCAUCCUGGGACUGAAGAAGGCCCCAAGGGUUUGGCUGUUCGCCAAUGAAAGCGGUACGCGAGCUGGGUUCAGAACGUCGUGAGACAGUUUGGCCUCUAUCCUCCACCAUCACUUAGAGACGUGAGGGAAGUUGCUCCUAGUACGAGAGGACCGGAGUGAACGAACCUCUGGUGUACCUGUUGUCGCGUCAGCGGCACCGCAGGAUAGCUAUGUUCGGAAGGGAUAACCGCUGAAAGCAUCUAAGUGGGAAGCCCCUCCCAAGAUUGCGUCUCUCCAUAAGUCCGCCGGAAGAUGACCGGCUCGAUCGGCCACAGGUGUACGUGCAGCAAUGCAUUCAGCCGAGUGGUACGAAUGGACGAUUGAACAUUUUUC